This 318-nucleotide long non-coding RNA is filed under the name Zea mays. RNAcentral's name for it is "long non-coding RNA (ZMAY_LNC005017)". The record is from RNAcentral. Lineage: Eukaryota; Viridiplantae; Streptophyta; Magnoliopsida; Poales; Poaceae.
UUUUAUACACAUAAUCACAUAGAUAUACAAAUUUAAUUAGUAUUGCACAAUGAUAGAUCCACAUUACAUAAACCAUCAACAAGCACCACAACAAAAUCAUUCACAAAACCUACACAUGUUAUUAUGUUUUGCACAUAUUUGCAAACACUUAACAAAAUCAUUCACAAAAGUACCAACACUUCAAGUGAUUCGCAAAAGCCUUCACAAAAGCACUCCAACUUCUUGUAUCCUCUUGUUUUAAGGCACAAGCUUGUAGGGGUUGUGAUGUCGCCAUUUACUUGAUGCUAACAAGACAUUUCCUUCACCAAAGCCAUCUUC